CCCCGAGUGGCAGACGGGUGAGUAACGCGUGGUCAACCUACCCUCGAGCGGGGGAUAACUAACCGAAAGGUUAGCUAAUACCGCAUGAAACGUAGUGGGUAAUCCCGCAACGUUGAAAGGAGCAAUCCGCUCAAGGACGGGACCGCGUCCGAUUAGCUAGUUGGUGAGGUAAUGGCCCACCAAGGCUACGAUCGGUAGCUGGUUUGAGAGAGCGACCAGCCACACUGGGACUGAGAAACGGCCCAG
RNAcentral lists this ribosomal RNA (246 nucleotides) under uncultured bacterium. RNAcentral's name for it is "partial 16S ribosomal RNA". It matches the Rfam family "Bacterial small subunit ribosomal RNA", at positions 89 to 334 of the family's 1533-position model. The record is from RNAcentral.